CAGCAGCCACGGUAAUACGGAGGGUGCAAGCGUUAAUCGGAAUUACUGGGCGUAAAGCGCACGCAGGCGGUCUGACAAGUCAGAUGUGAAAUCCCCGGGCUUAACCUGGGAACUGCAUUUGAAACUGUCAGGCUGGAGUCUUGUAGAGGGGGGUGGAAUUCCAGGUGUAGCGGUGAAAUGCGUAGAGAUCUGGAGGAAUACCGGUGGCGAAGGCGGCCCCCUGGACAAAGACUGACGCUCAGGUGCGAAAGCGUGGGGAGCAAACAGGAUUAGAUACCCGGUAGUCCCUGUCUCUUAUACC
Molecule: ribosomal RNA, 301 nt
Filed under: uncultured bacterium
Lineage: Bacteria
Description: partial 16S ribosomal RNA
Rfam family: Bacterial small subunit ribosomal RNA
Source: RNAcentral